AAAUCUCUCUGACUUUACCCUGCUAGAAGAAGAAAUGAAAGUGAGAAUCUUCCAUACUAUUAAAAUGGGUCUUCUUUCAUGUGCAUCUUCUACAAACAUUCACAACUCCUGUGACGGUGGUACCACUUAACCCUAUUUGGAAACCUCAUUAACCUCUUUCUUGAUGCCUGUGAAAUGAGAUUUGUUAGAUAUUCUGCUCUUUAAAUAUUUCUCUUCUGUUAAGCUAAAAGGAAAAUAAAAUAAAAGCAGAAUAUAAAGACCUGGGAAACAUCUAAUCAGUGAUGUGCUGUUUGUCUUUCAGUAGAGUAAGUGUAGAAUAUGGACCUCCAGGUUUGCUGCUAACUUGAGAUCCACUGAUAUAUGUUCUAUACAAUUUUUUUGGCUCUUUUGUUUCAGGUAAAUGUACAUUCAUAAACCUUCUGUUCAAACUUAUUAUUAAAAUAUAGACAUGAAAAGAGGUUAUGAGAUGUAGCAAAGAACCAGAGGAUUUAAUUCUAAUAAUACAAUCCACUGCUAAUAAUGGAUAAUUUGCUUAUAUUCUGAGUAGGUCAUUGUUCCCUGAAAUGAGCCAUUCCCACUGCUUGUUUUAUUCCUCAGCUUCCUUGCAUUUCUCACUGUAUGUUUAAAGUCCUACACCAAAAACUCCAAUAGGUCUCUAAUGACAAGAAAAAGUGGAAUGUCAGCCUGGGCAAGUGAAUUCUAGACUUUAUGUAAAGAAAAUAUCACCCUUUACAGUAUAAUCUAAACAAUAUAAAUAUUCUCGGAGAUGCAUAGCUAGCUGUAGCUUCACCUCACGUGUUUGUUCAGAUAUUUUGGCCACCAAGCUCUAUCAGUAUCAUGAUCAGGAGAAAAGCCUUAUUUCUCAAAUGAGCUCACAACAGUUAAAUUCUGAAUUGUACUUCUAUUUUAAAUAUGUCAGUCCUUUUUAUUUAAAUAUUUUGAAAUGUGUAGCUCCUCAAUAAGCUCUGUUUAUUUCCAUGAGCAUUUUUCCUGGCUAAGUGAUUAGGCAGGUCUCCUGGUGUCCCUGUGAGAACAGGAUUUUAUUAAAUGGCUUUGAAGAGAACUGAAUGGUAGAUGCUGCUAGAUUUAUGGAACUGCUGGAUCAGGAAUGCUAAUUUUUCCUAGUGUUAAUAUAUUUGGGUGAUGUCUUCCUGAAACAUGGCUGAAGUCUGUAGCCUGUACCUCUUGCUCUAGUAGAAGAGCUCAUGAUGAAUGUACAGUCAAAUACCCUUAAUGUUUUGCAGAUGCUGUGAACACCAAUUACAGAACGCUGACUGCAGUGAAGGGGUUAAUGAUUAAUUAAGUAUGAUGAUAUGAAUUAGGUAUCAGCAGGGUCUAGGGUAAUUGAUGUCAGGUGAAUGGGAAACUCCCCAGGAUAAUGUCGGUGCCAGAGGGAGUGGUGAUUAGUGGGGAUAAAUGCUGGUGUGAUCUGCAUCUGAUGAAGGCAGAGCUGAAAUGUUAGUGGGACUGGUUGAGAAUAAUAAAUGCUUUUCUGUUCCCAACAGAGAAUAAAGGAGAUUUUGAAUCAAAAUAUGUAAACACAGGUAGAACCCUUUCCACAUCUAACAAGUGCAAUAAGACAUACGCUUUUAAUACAUAUCUGUAUAAAGCUUUAGAAAGCAAUGCUAAAAGUUCAUUGUAAUCCCUAAUCUUAAGUGGUUUCAAGAAAGGGAGGAAGUUGAGCUCCAUUAUUUUUCUCUGUUCAUUAAAAAAAAUGCAGAACAUUCUUCGAAGUGUAGAUGAAGACUUUGCUGUUCUUCCAUGUAAUCAAUUUGCAAACUAGAUUACAAAUACUGAGGUGCACCUUUGUAAACCUUCUUGAUGGAAAAUAUCGGUAAGCUUUGCCUCUAUUUAGCUUUAGAUAGCUAUAGUUAAUACUGUUGUCAUAUGGAUAUGUUUAAGAGGGGCUUCUUCAGACAGCUCUAAACAAUUUUGAUUGACUUCUAGAAAAAAGUCUGUUGUGUAUGUCAUAAAAUGUUGUACAGGAUUUGUAGGAUAUAAUAACUCAAUUAAAGAUUGUCUCAUAAUGCAUGUGUUUUACCGAGGUGAAUUGUGCAAGAAAACUCAAUUAUUCCAUUACCUAACUUAGACGUGCUUAAAAAUGUUCUUUAUUGAGCAAUCCGAUACAGUAACCCACACAGGCAAUUGUAUAUCUUCUGUAAUUAUUUUACUUUAAAAUCUCUACACCUCCACAAUACUUGCAAGGGUAAUAAUGGUGCUUAUUUAUUUACUCUCAGCAAAUCUUAUGAACUUUUGAUGUGAAUCUGGGCCACGUAAAUUUAGCUGACAUGCCAAAGAAGAAAAACAGAGAGAAACUGAAAGUUCUCUAAGAUAUCCAAAAAAGGAUUAAUUUGCAGAAAUUUGAAGAAAUCUGACAAUGAUCUGUGGAUAACACAACCUAAACACGGGUCACAAAAAGAGAAAGUCAAUUUCUGCUCUGUGUCUUUACAGUCAUAAAUUUAGCAUGAUUGUUGAAUGGCUGGAUAGCUCAUUAUCUGUACAUACUGUAUAUGUCUGCACUGUACUACUCCUGCAUUAUAUAGGAAGGUAUCUUUAAAUCCAAAAUGAUAGACAGUAAAACAAUGGUGAAUUUGUUCAUGUAGCUACAUUAGCAGAGGGUGGUCUAAAAUUAGUUUUACUGCUAUAUGUGAGAAUAGAUUCUUAGUGAUUAUUAUAGUCUGGAUAGGUGUAAAUGUACAAUUAAUAAUUAUUUAUUAUUUUUUCAGAUUAACACUAUUUAGAUUUUAUACAUAUUAUUUUUAUAGAUAAAUUUGCUUAGUUAAUAUUAGGUUAAUGAGUGGGUUCAUCUAUGGAGUGUGCAAAAUGUACAGUUUCACACAUUUUGUGAAAGAUCUAAUAAUAGAUUUCGCUCUCCAACAGAUGGUCUACAUAUCUCUCAAAUAAAAAAUACAAACUUAAUCUGAUUAUGAAUUAAUUUUUAUGAGUUACAUAACUUUUAAUUCACAAGGAACAUAAUGUAGUCAUAUAUACAGUACUACAAAUGGAAUAAUUCUGCUUUACUUAGAGGUGUAUGUGUUCUGCAGUGAUGCCAAAAUUUCUCACUGAAUUAAUGUCUUGCUUUGCUGUUGAAGUUCUUAAAGAGCUUUAUGCAACAGACUGAAGAACAUUAUCUGUUCCUUUACAGCAGGGAAACUUGAGGAAGAGAUUGUUCAGGACAUCCAAUUUUUUGAUGUGUUUUAUUCAACAGAACUUUCAUGGAAGUCAGCUGGAACUCCCAUUGACCUUUGUAGAGCAACACUUAUGCCAACACAAAGCAGUUGGUGCAUUGGAGAGAUCCUGUAUCUUCACUGUUUACCUUGUUUGGAAACCCUGACUCUUCUACUAAGAUCCCUUUCACCAGGUUUCAGAAGAAAGGGAAGUGAAGACAGAAAUUAAUGAAGAAAAAGGAAGAAAGCAGAAGAAAAAAUACACAAUAUCAAACAUUUCAAUUAAGACUGAAACAGAUUUUCAAAAUGAAGUCUGAUUUCAUAAUUUUCUUCAGAAAAUUUAAAGGAGAAGAUUCUAAAAAAGUUUUCAGAAAAACAUUGUUCAGCAUUUUAAACCAAUUCUGUUGUUCACUUACACUUGUUCU
Long non-coding RNA from Columba livia (rock pigeon), 3592 nucleotides. RefSeq lists it as uncharacterized. The record is from RefSeq and is a predicted model, not a curated record. The transcript has 3 exons. Lineage: Eukaryota; Metazoa; Chordata; Aves; Columbiformes; Columbidae.